Molecule: ribosomal RNA, 256 nt
Filed under: uncultured bacterium
Lineage: Bacteria
Description: partial 16S ribosomal RNA
Rfam family: Bacterial small subunit ribosomal RNA
Source: RNAcentral
UACGGGGGGAGCAAGCGUUGUUCGGAUUUACUGGGCGUAAAGGGCGCGUAGGCGGUCGUGACAAGUCACUUGUGAAAUCUCCGGGCUUAACUCGGAACGGUCAAGUGAUACUGUCGGACUAGAGUACAGAAGGGGCAACUGGAAUUCUCGGUGUAGCGGUGAAAUGCGUAGAUAUCGAGAGGAACACCUGCGGCGAAGGCGGGUUGCUGGGCCGACACUGACGCUGGACAGCGCGAAAGCUAGGGGAGCGAACGGG